CCUACGGGUGGCAGCAGUGGGGAAUAUUCGGCAAUGGGCGCAAGCCUGACCCAGCAACGCCGCGUGAAUGAAGAAGGCUUUCGGGUCGUAAACUUCUUUUGACAGGGAAGAGUAGAAGACGGUACCUGUCGAAUCAGCCACGGCUAACCACGUGCCAGCAGCCGCGGUAACACGUAGGUGGCAAGCGCUGUCCGGAAUUACUGGGUGUAAUGGGCGUGUAGCCGGGUUGAUAAGUCAGAUGUGAAAUCCUGCGGCUUAACCGUAGAACUGCAUUUGAAACUGUUGAUCUUGAGUACUGGAGAGGCAGACGGAAUUCCUAGUGUAGCGGUGAAAUGCGUAGAUAUUAGGAGGAACACCAGUGGCGAAGGCGAUCUGCUGGACAGCAACUGACGGUGAGGUGCGAAAGCGUGGGGAGCAAACAGGAUUAGAUACCCGUGUAGUC
RNAcentral lists this ribosomal RNA (442 nucleotides) under uncultured bacterium. RNAcentral describes it as "partial 16S ribosomal RNA". It matches the Rfam family "Bacterial small subunit ribosomal RNA", at positions 338 to 795 of the family's 1533-position model. The record is from RNAcentral.